AGGAGAGUUUGAUCCUGGCUCAGGAUGAACGCUGGCGGCGUGCUUAACACAUGCAAGUCGAACGGAGUAUAUUUAAAAGCUUGCUUUUGCUUAUACUUAGUGGCGGACGGGUGAGUAACGCGUGGGUAACCUGCCUUAUACCGGGGGACAACAGUUGGAAACGACUGCUAAUACCGCAUAAGCGCACAGUAUCGCAUGAUACAGUGUGAAAAACUCCGGUGGUAUAAGAUGGACCCGCGUCUGAUUAGCCAGUUGGCGGUGUAACGGACCACCAAAGCGACGAUCAGUAGCCGGCCUGAGAGGGCAAACGGCCACAUUGGGACUGAGACACGGCCCAAACUCCUACGGGAGGCAGCAGUGGGGAAUAUUGCACAAUGGAGGAAACUCUGAUGCAGCGACGCCGCGUGAGUGAAGAAGUAUUUCGGUAUGUAAAGCUCUAUCAGCAGGAAAGAAAAUGACGGUACCUGACUAAGAAGCCCCGGCUAACUACGUGCCAGCAGCCGCGGUAAUACGUAGGGGGCAAGCGUUAUCCGGAUUUACUGGGUGUAAAGGGAGCGUAGACGGUUUGGCAAGUCUGAAGUGAAAGCUCGGGGCUCAACCCCGGAACUGCUUUGGAAACUGUCGAACUGGAGUGCAGGAGAGGUAAGCGGAAUUCCUAGUGUAGCGGUGAAAUGCGUAGAUAUUAGGAGGAACACCAGAGGCGAAGGCGGUUUACUGGACUGUAACUGACGUUGAGGCUCGAAGGCGUGGGGAGCAAACAGGAUUAGAUACCCUGGUAGUCCCCU
Molecule: ribosomal RNA, 785 nt
Filed under: uncultured Bacillota bacterium
Lineage: Bacteria; Bacillati; Bacillota
Description: bacterial SSU rRNA
Rfam family: Bacterial small subunit ribosomal RNA
Source: RNAcentral